RNAcentral lists this transfer RNA (73 nucleotides) under Rhizoctonia solani AG-8 WAC10335. Its description in RNAcentral is "tRNA-Lys (CTT) (tRNA-Lys-CTT-2-1)". It matches the Rfam family "tRNA". Rfam says of the family: Transfer RNA (tRNA) molecules are approximately 80 nucleotides in length. Their secondary structure includes four short double-helical elements and three loops (D, anti-codon, and T loops). Lineage: Eukaryota; Fungi; Basidiomycota; Agaricomycetes; Cantharellales; Ceratobasidiaceae. The record is from RNAcentral.
GUCUGGCUAGCUCAAUCGGUAGAGCGUGAAACUCUUAUUCUCGUGGUUGUGGGUUUGGUCCCCAUGUUAGGCU